RNAcentral lists this long non-coding RNA (252 nucleotides) under Brassica napus (rape). RNAcentral describes it as "long non-coding RNA (BNAP_LNC001708)". Lineage: Eukaryota; Viridiplantae; Streptophyta; Magnoliopsida; Brassicales; Brassicaceae. The record is from RNAcentral.
GGGUCAGGAAGCACAGUGAAGAGGAGCUGUGAAAAAAAGAAGAUCAGAUUGUGUUUUUAUUUUGUGGACUGAAAAAAAAAAAAACAAAAUCUGAGAAAGAAGAGAAGCGAAAGAAGAUGAUAAAUUAGUGGAUCCUACAGAUUAUGUUUUAGUUAUACUUUAGUUAAUAAUGAAUGGAAUAUGUUAAGAAAAGUUAAGAAAAAGUGUCUUAGAAGUAGAAAGUUAGAAACUGUCUUAUUAUGUUAUAAAAAA